GGAGGGGGCGAGCGUUAUUCGGAUUUACUGGGCGUAAAGCGCACGUAGGCGGCUAGGUAUGUCAAAGGUGAAAGCCCUCGACUCAACCGAGGAACUGCCUUUGAAACUGCUUGGCUUGAGUCCGGGAGAGGGGAGCGGAAUUCCCAGUGUAGCGGUGAAAUGCGUAGAUACUGGGAGGAACACCGGUGGCGAAGGCGGCUCCCUGGACCGGCACUGACGCUGAGGUGCGAAAGCGUGAGUAGCAAACAGGAUUAGAUACCCUGGUAGUCCACGCCGUAAACGAUGGGCACUAGGUGCAGCGGGUGUCGACCCCCGUGCUGUGCCGAAGCUAACGCAUUAAGUGCCCCGCCGGGGGGUAGUACGGUCGCAGGCUG
This 374-nucleotide ribosomal RNA is filed under the name uncultured organism. Its description in RNAcentral is "partial 16S ribosomal RNA". It matches the Rfam family "Bacterial small subunit ribosomal RNA", at positions 527 to 896 of the family's 1533-position model. The record is from RNAcentral.